UUCUACAGCCACGCCACUCUGAACGUGCCCGAUCCCGUCUGAUCUCGGAAGCUACGCAGGAUCGGGCCUGGUUAGUACUUGGUAUGGGAGACCACCUAGGAAGACCAGGUGCUGUAGGCA
This 120-nucleotide ribosomal RNA is filed under the name Pteropus alecto (black flying fox). Lineage: Eukaryota; Metazoa; Chordata; Mammalia; Chiroptera; Pteropodidae. The record is from RNAcentral.